AGUGAACGCUGGCGGCAGGCCUAACACAUGCAAGUCGAACGGCAGCACAGUAAGAGCUUGCUCUUACGGGUGGCGAGUGGCGGACGGGUGAGGAAUACAUCGGAAUCUACUUUUUCGUGGGGGAUAACGUAGGGAAACUUACGCUAAUACCGCAUACGACCUACGGGUGAAAGCAGGGGAUCUUCUGACCUUGCGCGAAUGAAUGAGCCGAUGUCGGAUUAGCUAGUUGGCGGGGUGAAGGCCCACCAAGGCGACGAUCCGUAGCUGGUCUGAGAGGAUGGUCGGCCACACUGGAACUGAGCCACGGUCCAGGCUCCUGCGGGAGGCAGCAGUGGGGAAUAUUGGACAGAGGGGGCAAGCAUGAUCCAGCCAGACCGCGUGGGUGAAGAAGGCCUUCGGGUUGUAAAGCCCUUUUGUUGGGAAAGAAAAGCAGCAGGUUAAUACCCCGCUGUUCUGACGGUACCCAAAGAAUAAGCACCGGCUAACUUCGUG
RNAcentral lists this ribosomal RNA (492 nucleotides) under uncultured bacterium. RNAcentral's name for it is "partial 16S ribosomal RNA". It matches the Rfam family "Bacterial small subunit ribosomal RNA", at positions 29 to 507 of the family's 1533-position model. The record is from RNAcentral.